CCUACGGGAGGCAGCAGUGGGGAAUAUUGCACAAUGGGGGAAACCCUGAUGCAGCGACGCCGCGUGAGUGAGGAAGUAUUUCGGUAUGUAAAGCUCUAUCAGCAGGGAAGAAAAUGACGGUACCUGACUAAGAAGCCCCGGCUAACUACGUGCCAGCAGCCGCGGUAAUACGUAGGGGGCAAGCGUUAUCCGGAUUUACUGGGUGUAAAGGGAGCGUAGACGGUUAAUCAAGUCAGAAGUGAAAACCCAGGGCUCAACCUUGGGACUGCUUUUGAAACUGAGUAGCUAGAGUGCAGGAGAGGUAAGCGGAAUUCCUAGUGUAGCGGUGAAAUGCGUAGAUAUUAGGAGGAACACCAGUGGCGAAGGCGGCUUACUGGACUGUAACUGACGUUGAGGCUCGAAAGCGUGGGGAGCAAACAGGAUUAGAUACCCUUGUAGUC
This 440-nucleotide ribosomal RNA is filed under the name uncultured bacterium. RNAcentral's name for it is "partial 16S ribosomal RNA". It matches the Rfam family "Bacterial small subunit ribosomal RNA", at positions 338 to 795 of the family's 1533-position model. The record is from RNAcentral.